AUUGAACGCUGGCGGCAUGCUUUACACAUGCAAGUCGGACGGCAGCGGGGUAGUGCUUGCACUACUGCCGGCGAGUGGCGAACGGGUGAGUAAUAUAUUGGAACGUACCGAGUAAUGGGGGAUAACCAAUCGAAAGAUUGGCUAAUACCGCAUACGCUCUGAGGAGGAAAGCAGGGGACCUUCGGGCCUUGCGUUAUUCGAGCGGCCAAUAUCUGAUUAGCUAGUUGGUGGGGUAAGGGCCUACCAAGGCGACGAUCAGUAGCGGGUCUGAGAGGAUGAUCCGCCACACUGGACUGAGACACGGCCCAGACUCCUACGGGAGGCAGCAGUGGGGAAUUUUGGACAAUGGGCGCAAGCCUGAUCCAGCCAUGCCGCGUGUCUGAAGAAGGCCUUCGGGUUGUAAAGGACUUUUGUUAGGGAAGAAAAAGGAGCGGUUAAUACCCGUUUCUGCUGACGGUACCUAAAGAAUAAGCACCGGCUAACUACGUG
This 489-nucleotide ribosomal RNA is filed under the name uncultured bacterium. Its description in RNAcentral is "partial 16S ribosomal RNA". It matches the Rfam family "Bacterial small subunit ribosomal RNA", at positions 30 to 507 of the family's 1533-position model. The record is from RNAcentral.